Molecule: non-coding RNA, 110 nt
Organism: Erinaceus europaeus (western European hedgehog)
Lineage: Eukaryota; Metazoa; Chordata; Mammalia; Eulipotyphla; Erinaceidae
Source: Rfam
GUCUAUGGCCAUACCACCCUGAACACAUCUGAUCUUGUCUGAUCUCAGAAGCUAAGCAGGGUCGGGCCUGGUUAGUACUUGGAUGGGAGAAAUUCCUGUAGUUGGAUUUU